CCCACCUCACAAUGAUAUGAUGUUGGCUAGCAUCAAUAAUAAUGAGAGAGUACAUUUACUCAUUUGCAUCUCUUGCAAGUACCCAUUUUAUUUGGCCUCUAGAGAAUGAAGUCUCACAAUGAUAUAAUGUUGGCUCCAUUGCACUUAAUUAAGUCAUUCCCACCAUGCAAGUUCGAGUAGGGGUUUAAGAACAACCUCACAAUGAUAUGAUGUUGAUAAAUCUCGUUGCCUACCUUCACAACAUAAUGUAUGCAUAUAGAACUCCUCCUGAGUGUAAGCACGCACUUUGUACUCCCCCAUGAUAGGGUGAAGUCGGUGUACGAGUCACAAAUGAUUGGAGCCUACCACGGUGGAAGGCCACGAAAGAGUGUUCAAAGCACUCUCACGCUUAUCAACUUAAUAAUGGUUUGGUUGAGAGUUUUAGGUCUCAUCACAUAUAAGCAUGCAUUUUAAUCUUAUUAAAACAAUUUGGUCCUAUUACAACUAUUGGUCUAUGUGAUUGAUUUAGUUGUAUAUAAUACUCCCACUAUGCUUGUAAAAUGGUUUUUAAAGUAAGAGUAUAUGGUACUACUAACAUAAGGUUUGCAUUCAUUGAUGGACUAUAUAGUUGCCUUAGGGCCUUAAGAUGACUAUGAACCUUUGAUUAGAUCCAACACGAGCCUAGUGUUGGAUCUCGGUCUAGGGAUGGUGAUUGAUCCACCAUGAGUGACACCUAGCAGUAUGUCAUGGUUAUCCAAGCUAAUCAGAAGAGGUGGAAAACCUAUUCAGUUUAGGAUUACAAUGCAAUACGGUCUUUCUCUAAUACAAUACUCUUGACCACAUUGUUUGGUUUGAUAGUUUAAUCAUGUCUACUAUCCAAUAUGAUUCAUUUACUUAUAUGAUUACCUUGAAUGUGAUUUGGAACGACUUCCUAAAUCUCAUUCAUACUUUGGCCAGAGAUUCUUAAUCAUAUCAUAGAGUAUUCUCCCUAAAACGGUUUGAAGGUUAGAGAUCCCUUAUUGCGCAUUCACUUGCCUCCAUGGCUAAGUGGCUUAACCCCAACUAUGCCGUGGACACCCUCUGAUAGAGUGACUUUGACAUAGUCAAAGAUCAAGGACCUAACCACAAGACAACUAUGAUGCCUCAUGUCAAAUGACUACUUUGCAUUAUCCCAACCAUGAGUUCUCAUGUGACAUGAGUAUGAGAACUCCUCGUUGAUCGU
Molecule: long non-coding RNA, 1201 nt
Filed under: Malus domestica (apple)
Lineage: Eukaryota; Viridiplantae; Streptophyta; Magnoliopsida; Rosales; Rosaceae
Description: long non-coding RNA (MDOM_LNC009154)
Source: RNAcentral